RNAcentral lists this ribosomal RNA (460 nucleotides) under uncultured bacterium. Its description in RNAcentral is "partial 16S ribosomal RNA". It matches the Rfam family "Bacterial small subunit ribosomal RNA", at positions 338 to 795 of the family's 1533-position model. The record is from RNAcentral.
CCUACGGGUGGCAGCAGUGAGGAAUAUUGGUCAAUGGGCUUACGCCUGAACCAGCCAAGUCGCGUGAGGGAAGACUGCCCUAUGGGUUGUAAACCUCUUUUGUCAGGGAGCAACGCCGGCUACGUGUAGCCGGACUGAGAGUACCUGAAGAAAAAGCAUCGGCUAACUCCGUGCCAGCAGCCGCGGUAAUACGGAGGAUGCGAGCGUUAUCCGGAUUUUUUGGGUUUAAAGGGUGCGUAGGCGGAAUGCCAAGUCAGCGGUAAAAUCGCGGGGCUCAACCUCGCUCCGCCGUUGACACUGGCGUUCUAGAGUGGGCGAGAAGUAUGCGGAAUGCGUGGUGUAGCGGUGAAAUGCAUAGAUAUCACGCAGAACUCCGAUUGCGAAGGCAGCAUGCCGGCGCCCAACUGACGCUGAAGCACGAAAGCGUGGGUAUCGAACAGGAUUAGAUACCCUUGUAGUC